RNAcentral lists this ribosomal RNA (489 nucleotides) under uncultured bacterium. RNAcentral describes it as "bacterial SSU rRNA". It matches the Rfam family "Bacterial small subunit ribosomal RNA", at positions 28 to 514 of the family's 1533-position model. The record is from RNAcentral.
GAUGAACGCUAGCGGCAGGCUUAAUACAUGCAAGUCGUGGGGCAGCAUGAGUAGCAAUACUUGAUGGCGACCGGCAAACGGGUGAGGAACACGUACACAACCUUCCUUCAAGCGGGGAAUAGCCCAGAGAAAUUUGGAUUAAUACCCCAUAAUAUAUUUGAUAGGGCAUCUUAUUAAUAUUAAAGCUUCGGCACUUGAUGAUGGGUGUGCGGCUGAUUAGAUAGUUGGCGGGGUAACGGCCCACCAAGUCUACGAUCGGUAGCUGAUGUGAGAGCAUGAUCAGCCACACGGGCACUGAGACACGGGCCCGACUCCUACGGGAGGCAGCAGUAAGGAAUAUUGGACAAUGGACGAAAGUCUGAUCCAGCCAUGCCGCGUGAAGGAUUAAGGUCCUCUGGAUUGUAAACUUCUUUAUAUGGGACAAAAAGGGCAUUCUUGUUCACUUGACGGUACCAUAUGAAUAAGCACCGGCUAACUCCGUGCCAGCAG